Molecule: non-coding RNA, 298 nt
Organism: Solanum lycopersicum (tomato)
Lineage: Eukaryota; Viridiplantae; Streptophyta; Magnoliopsida; Solanales; Solanaceae
Source: RefSeq, a predicted model, not a curated record
UUCUAAAAAAGAACUAUAAAUACAAAACAAACUAAUAGAAAAUUGUUCGACAACUAUCCGAUCUUCGUCGUCUUUUUCAAGAUCCUCACGAGUAGACAAAGAUUCUACAUUUGCGUUCUAAAUUUGAGGAAGAUUUUUGCACACUAAUGAGUCUUGUAAAUGUUCUUACCCUCUUUCUUCCCUCAUUUUAGCAGCGGAUCAUACAUUAUACACUAUUUGUUAAGUAAUAAAUAAAUUAAAGGAUGAAAAAUCACCAGAAAUUGGUUGAUUAAGAUGAAUACCUCUAGUAAGCCUCUUG